UAGAUACCCUGGUAGUCCACGCUGUAAACGAUGAUAACUAACCGUCGGCGAUAGACAGUCGGUGGCCAAGCGAAAGCGAUAAGUUAUCCACCUGGGGAGUACGACCGCAAGGUUGAAACUCAAAGGAAUUGACGGGGGCCCGCACAAGCGGAGGAACAUGUGGUUUAAUUCGAUGAUACGCGAGGAACCUUACCCGGGCUCGAACGGCAAAGGAAGUGAUCCAGAGAUGGUGACGUCCCUUCGGGGACCU
RNAcentral lists this ribosomal RNA (250 nucleotides) under uncultured bacterium. RNAcentral's name for it is "partial 16S ribosomal RNA". It matches the Rfam family "Bacterial small subunit ribosomal RNA", at positions 779 to 1029 of the family's 1533-position model. The record is from RNAcentral.